Non-coding RNA from Podarcis lilfordi (Lilford's wall lizard), 72 nucleotides. The record is from the annotation of a GenBank genome assembly. NCBI's taxonomy places the organism in Eukaryota, Metazoa, Chordata, Lepidosauria, Squamata, Lacertidae.
GGGGCUGCAGCUCAGUUGUGGAGUGCCUGCUUUGUAUGCAGAAGGCUCCAGGUUCAAUCCAUGGCAUCUCCA